GUCCCCUUCUUGAAGGUCUGCCAUGCUUUGUGUUAUUCUUCAAAAUCAGUCUUUGACAAUUUGCUGGAUAAAUAAAAGAAAGGAAGAAAAAAAAGAAAGAAAGAAAGAAAAAAAGAACCACCAGCCUUAAACAUUUAACACUAGAGGUGAGCAGUAUAGGAUAGGACUUUUGCACGUCUGUGUCUUUUUCACAACACGUCUUUUGCCAUGUUGGGCACUGAAGGGGACAGACUGAAGAGGAGACCAGUGAUGGCUUCGGAAAGGCUCAGAUGAGUGAGAAGAUGCCUUGACAUCAGAGCAUCUCUUGGGCCUGGUGCAUGGUGGAACACACCUUAGGAAAUGCAGUCUGAUGUCAUAGCGGAAAAUGAUCUUCACGGGGUCCAGAAUUGGAUAACACAUCAACAAAAGAAGAAAUCUAUGUCAUCCAGCCCAAUCUUCAACAUUCUCUAUGAGUCCCAGAAAGGGUGUGUGCCUUACCUUAGGUCACACAGCUACUAAUGGUCGAGUGAAUCUCAAGCACUUAACAAUAUCAAGCUCGCUGUUCAUAGCCAGCAUCAAGAACGAUAUUUUAGGAACCUGAGAUUCUUUUUCAUAAAAACCUGCUUUGAUUUGCUCUACAUGGGGCUACUACUCUUUCACAAGGUGCCCAAAUCACCUUUCCUGCCUUGUUAUCUUUUAAAGUAAGUCUUUUUUUGAGUUUCCUUUAAGACACUUGUAUCAUCUCUCUUUCCAUUUCCUAAUAUAUCUCAUUUUAUUUUAUUUUAUUUAUUUUCCUUUUUAGGGUCGCACCCGUGGCUUAUGGAGGUUCCCAGGCUAGGGGUUGAAUCAGCGCUGUAGCUGCCGGCUUAUGCCACAGUCACAGCAACACCAGAUCCGAGCCAUGUCUGUGACCUACACUAGAGCUCAAGGCAGCACUGGAUCCUUAACCCACUGAGCAAGGCCAGGGAUCGAACCCACAACCUCAUGGUUCCUCGUUGGAUUCGUUUCUGCUGAGCCACGACGGGAACUCCUCCUAGCAUAUUUUAAAACUUUCCUGGGGAGUUCCCAUCGUGGCUCAGUGGUUA
This 1064-nucleotide long non-coding RNA is filed under the name Sus scrofa (pig). RNAcentral's name for it is "lncRNA (ENSSSCG00040065910.1)". Lineage: Eukaryota; Metazoa; Chordata; Mammalia; Artiodactyla; Suidae. The record is from RNAcentral.